AAUUUAUGAAAUACGCAUUUGUAUGUUUUUAUAUGUAUAUCACACAACUUUAUGACAUGGCUGUAAAUCUGGUGGGAUAUUACGGUACUGUUUUUAUCAGUUUCGGUACUUUUUGUUAGAACCGGUCACCUCAAUGUUCUCAGGCGAUCAGACGACAACUGCCACACAGAAUGCGGAUGUUCCACGCUUGGUAUUGAUUGUAGCAGCUGCUUCAGCCAGUACAGCGGUAGCCAUCACAAGCCUUGUUCUCGUGAUUGUAUGUUGUACUAUCACGAAACAGAACAUUUCCCCAAACUACGAGCAUGCGGAUGUAAUACGUAAAAA
Long non-coding RNA from Haliotis rubra (blacklip abalone), 324 nucleotides. RefSeq lists it as uncharacterized. The transcript is spliced from 3 exons. The record is from RefSeq and is a predicted model, not a curated record. NCBI's taxonomy places the organism in Eukaryota, Metazoa, Mollusca, Gastropoda, Lepetellida, Haliotidae.